RNAcentral lists this ribosomal RNA (253 nucleotides) under uncultured bacterium. Its description in RNAcentral is "partial 16S ribosomal RNA". It matches the Rfam family "Bacterial small subunit ribosomal RNA", at positions 524 to 776 of the family's 1533-position model. The record is from RNAcentral.
GACGAACCGAGCGAACGUUAUUCGGAAUCACUGGGCUUAAAGGGCGCGUAGGCGGGCCGUCAAGUCAGGGGUGAAAGCCCCCAGCUCAACUGGGGAAGUGCCUCUGAUACUGGCGGCCUCGAGGGAGGUAGGGGCGUGCGGAACUUCCGGUGGAGCGGUGAAAUGCGUAGAUAUCUGGAGGAACACCGGUGGCGAAGGCGGCAUCCUGGACCAACACUGACACUGAGGAGCGAAAGCCAGGGGAGCAAACGGG